Lethenteron reissneri (Far Eastern brook lamprey) is the source of this 1066-nucleotide long non-coding RNA. RefSeq lists it as uncharacterized. NCBI's taxonomy places the organism in Eukaryota, Metazoa, Chordata, Hyperoartia, Petromyzontiformes, Petromyzontidae. The record is from RefSeq and is a predicted model, not a curated record.
UGUCGGGUCACGUUCCAGCCACGCAUGCGGGACGGGACGGGACGCGGCGGUGGCGGCCGCACGAUCGGCCAUUCCGCACCGGUCCUUGGCUCGCUGCCGUACAGUGCGCGCCAACACUUCGCCCGGCGUUAACUUGCUCCGGCUCCUGCGGACCGAGUCAGGCGUGCGGCUCAAAAGUCCGAAGCGACCGAAAGCGGGCUCUGUCGCCCACCCCCUUUGCGCCGACGCGGGGGGAGGUUGCCGAAAGUAACGCGCCGAAGCGUCGCUUGAGAACGACAACGGGUCUACGCCGAAGAAACGGCCGCAUCGAAAUAGUUACGAGGUUUUUAUACACGUACGACAUUUGGGACGACGCGAUGACGAAUUGACGGUUCGCGUAAGCUGUUUUUAGAGGAGUGAUUUCAUCAAGUUGUUGAAAAGGCAUUUCGUUGACAAAAAAAAUUAUCGCAAAAAGGGCUUCGAGACUUCGAGUAACGAUGCAGGUUCCUAGCUCGGAGCUGAAGCAUCGUCUGUCGCGAAGACCAGACUACUUGGACGGGUGGAGGCGAUGGGAGGACCGUACCAACGUCGUCUAUGCAUUCCGAUUGACUUUGUUUCACAGGGCGACUUUUAAAAUUAAUAUCACUUCUGGUGUGUUUAUGCAGCUAAUGAGGAUCGUGUUGAAAUGUUUGCUUUACAUUUUAACCCCUGUACUUGCUUUUCUGGCUGUAAUUUACGAUACAAUUCACUGUUAAUACCGGCGUGUAAACAAAGUACGUUGAGAUUCUCAUUGACUUAUUAAAUGGUCGAUUUUAUCAUAUCUGUUUUAACUAUUAAUGGUGAUGUUUUUAAUUCAAAUCAUGAAUAUGUUCUGUUAAUCAAUUUAUCGUUGCAUGUUUUGUUUUUACAAUUUAAUAUGAAUGCAUAUGUGGAGUGGUGAAAGAACAACAUAACCGCUGAUAUUAGUAGUGAUCAUAAUGUGACGAACGGGCUUCAUUUUAAUACAAUGGCUCUAUUGAACAAAGCAAAUUGCAUCACUGUAUUUAUUUAGUAUUUCAAUAAAUGACCCUUUAAGCAACGUACAGUU